RNAcentral lists this ribosomal RNA (458 nucleotides) under uncultured bacterium. RNAcentral's name for it is "bacterial SSU rRNA". It matches the Rfam family "Bacterial small subunit ribosomal RNA", at positions 29 to 498 of the family's 1533-position model. The record is from RNAcentral.
AGUGAACGCUGGCGGCGUGCUUAACACAUGCAAGUCGAACGAGAACGGAUUAUAGCUUGCUAUAAUUGUCAGCUAAGUGGCGCACGGGUGAGUAAUAUAUAGGUAAUGUGCCCUAGAGAAGAGGAUAACAGUUGGAAACGACUGCUAAGACUCUAUAUGCCUUUAAGACAGAAGUCUGCAAGGGAAAUAUUUAUAGCUCUAGGAUCAGCCUGUACAGUAUCAGUUAGUUGGUGAGGUAAUGGCUCACCAAGACAAUGACACUUAACUGGUUUGAGAGGAUGAUCAGUCACACUGGAACUGAGACACGGUCCAGACUCCUACGGGAGGCAGCAGUGGGGAAUAUUGCACAAUGGACGAAAGUCUGAUGCAGCAACGCCGCGUGGAGGAUGACACAUUUCGGUGCGUAAACUCCUUUAUAUGGGAAGAUAAUGACGGUACCAUAUGAAUAAGCACCGGCU